GUCACGGACGGGACGUCGGCCGUUUAAGCCGGAGGAAGGUGGGGAUGACGUCAAGUCAGCAUGGCCUUUAUAUCCUGGGCUACGCACACGCUACAAUGGUCGGUACAAUAGGUUGCCAAGCCGCGAGGCGGAGCCAAUCCACAAAGCCGGCCUCAGUUCAGAUUGUAGGCUGCAACUCGCCUGCAUGAAGAUGGAGUUGCUAGUAACCGCAGGUCAGCAAUACUGCGGUGAAUACGUUCCCGGGUCUU
RNAcentral lists this ribosomal RNA (248 nucleotides) under uncultured Anaerolineaceae bacterium. Its description in RNAcentral is "partial 16S ribosomal RNA". It matches the Rfam family "Bacterial small subunit ribosomal RNA", at positions 1136 to 1382 of the family's 1533-position model. Lineage: Bacteria; Bacillati; Chloroflexota; Anaerolineae; Anaerolineales; Anaerolineaceae. The record is from RNAcentral.